CGGAGCGUGGCGCAGUUGGCUAGCGUACUUGCAUGGGGUGCAAGAGGUCGCAAGUUCAAGUCUUGUCGCUCCGACCA
This 77-nucleotide transfer RNA is filed under the name Muiribacterium halophilum (SeqCode). Its description in RNAcentral is "bacterium BM706 tRNA-Pro". It matches the Rfam family "tRNA". Rfam says of the family: Transfer RNA (tRNA) molecules are approximately 80 nucleotides in length. Lineage: Bacteria; Candidatus Muiribacteriota; Muiribacteriia (SeqCode); Muiribacteriaceae (SeqCode). The record is from RNAcentral.